RNAcentral lists this unclassified non-coding RNA (955 nucleotides) under Hevea brasiliensis (rubber tree). The record is from RNAcentral. Lineage: Eukaryota; Viridiplantae; Streptophyta; Magnoliopsida; Malpighiales; Euphorbiaceae.
AUAUAUAUAUAUAUAUAUAUAAAAGAGGCAGUACAAAUGUGAAGAAAACAAGGAUCAGAACUAAAAAAAUUUUUUGCAACACAAUGUACAACCAGCCAGAACAUUUCAACCUUUUGGCACCUCAGCAUCUCCAUUAUCCAUUCAAGAAGCCUUCUCCAUAUCUGCAAAGCAUAUUGUUUGACUAUUAACUUUCAUACUAGACAGUGAAUAAUGAGAUCACCCAAUUUACAAGAGAAAGAAGAAAUAAAUACACCACUUAAAAUGAAUAUAAUGCUUGACUUUUAUUAUAACCAUGCCAUCACAUUUUAGAAUGCCCAUAGCACUUCUGAAACACCUGCCUCCUUAGCUGCAAUGUAUGGUGGAGUAUAAAAAACUAUUGAAUUUAUGGCUUUAAAAACCUAGAGGAUCACAGCCCAUUGCGUGUGCUAGACACUAAAUGUGAAUGUUAAUGGUCAGCCAAUCUUUGCAUCUGCAUGAAACAUGACAUUGAGUUGCAAAUACAAACUUCUUCAGCUGCUUAAACAAUUUAAGACAGAAUAUUAAGGAUAUCAGAAAGCAGGAGAAUGUAAGUACCAGAGUCUGUUUCAUGCCACUAAGGCAUUGACUGUAAAAGCCAUCCAACACCAAGCAGAUCACAGAAAUUUAAACUUCACUCUAAAUAAACUACAUAUGAGACUCUCAUGGACCAACUUCAUCAAGGUAUGGAAUUCAUGGUCUGAGCAGCAGGAGAAGUGUUUCCUUCUAAGCACAAGGCAUUAAUUUCUGCUAUUUACACACGCGCGCAUGCCAUGGACAUUAUAAAUUAUCAUACAAAUUAGAAGACAUCUUUCACCCUUCACUCUGUCCUUAGUAGAGAUUCAAUAGCGAACCUAAUCAAUUACCCUUGUGUUUGUAGGGAACAACUCCAAACAACUGAAAAAAUUAAAUCCAUUAAAAGAAGGGGUAGACCUAAACU